UCAGGCUUUGGCAUAGUUGGGACUUUUAGCUUUGGAAGCUCGGGAACUUUUGGCUUUGGUAGUUCUGGAAUUUCAGGCUUUGGCAUAGUUGGUACUUCUAGCUUUGGAAGUUCAGGGACUUUUGGCUUUGGUAGUUCUGGAAUUUCAGGUUUUGGCAUAGUUGGGACUUUUAGGUUUGGAAGCUCGGGGACUUUUGGCUUUGGUAGUUCUGGGAUUUCAGGCUUUGGCAUAGCUGGAGGAAGCUCAGUCUUUGGCGCUGCUGGGAUUUCUGGCUUUUUCAAGGGAGGAAACUCGGGUUUUGGUAUUGUUGGAAUCUCAGGCUUCGGCACAGUAGGAAUCUCGGGUUUUGGUAUAGCUGGGAUCUCAGGCUUUGGCAAAGUUGGUAAUUCAGGCUUUUGUAUAGUUGGAAUCUCUGCUUUUUUCAUAGUUGGAUGCUCAGUCUUUGGCAUUGCUGGAACUUCUGGCUUUUUCAAGGAAGGAAACUCGAGUUUUGGCAUUGUUGGAAUCUCAGGCUUUGGCAUAGAAGGAAGCUCGGGUUUCGGCACAACUGGAAUCUCAGGCUUCUGCAAAGUCGGUAAUUCAGGCUUUGGCAUAGCUGGCAUCUUAGGCUUUGGCAAAGUUGGUAACUCAGGCUUCGGGACAGUUGGUAGCUCGGGCUUUGGAACAGCGGGGAUCUCAGGCUUUGGUAUGGUUGGAAGCUCAGGCUUCGGCAGAGUUGGGAUUUCAAGCUUUGGUAAGGCUGGAACUUUCGGUAGUUCUGGUUUAGUUAUCUCAGGGACGGGUGUCUCUAAGAGGUGGCGUGCAGCCGCACCAGUUAUGUUGCCAUGAAUGAAGAAUAAAUUAAGAAAUGCAAGUAGUAAGAGGGAGGAUACGUGGUAAUGCUGACCCAUUUUUACGCAGAUUGUAGAAGCGAAAAGAAGAAUAAUGUGUACGACUCAAUGUGAUUGGGAUGUGACAUUGCUUUAAGUCUGUUGCUUUAUAUUGUUUUCAAGAAUGCAAUUACAAGGACUUUCAGGAUUCUGUUUGUUAGCCACGGACCUGAGUAGUUGAAUUUCUCAUCAAACUAAUUAGCUUCCAGCCUGGUACUUCAAAAGUCAAUUUAGAUGACCUAAAUUACUUAAAAUAGUCUAAACCUGUCACUUGCAUAUAGGUUAUGCUGAUAACCUGAUAAAAAUUCUUAGCUUAGCUGAUUUCAUUUCUUUGAAAAGUGAAGAAGUAUUCACUUUUUACCGCAAAUCUUCAUUCUGGUGUGGUGUGUACAUAAUAACUCAACGAUAUCGACAAAAACUACAAAAUAGAAAGGUUAUUACUUUAGAGUUUCUUUUGAGCUUUAGGAUUAAUAAAAACAAAUGACACCACUUCCCAAAGAUUGCCUGUAAUUGGUUCGCUGGCAAAAGCACCUAACUUCGCCAAUAAACUUCGACAGUUACUCAGUACUGCAAUCUUUCAUUUUAAAUUUUUGGGUUUUACUGCUUGAACACAUCAACUUUUGUGUAUGAAAGGGACAAUAAAUAACUAUAAACGCUACUUGGAUUCAAUUAUUUCACCACUUGUAAAAUCCUAAUUUUGAAAACUACCCGGUCCAAUUACUUGAGACUUGGCGUAUUGCUUUCUCGGUGAUGAAGUUGAUUAAGAUUGACUUGUAAAAUCAGAUGAAUAAUGAUCUUUUAAGUGGUUGAUGGGGUUUUCACCGUAAGACACUAUUUUUAAUGCUGUCAUGAUUACAUUUUAAAAAUGAAAACUCGUUAAAGCAAAUUAUAGUAAUAAACUAAUAUUUUUAAUAUGAUGUCGCUACAAUAUUUAUUCUUUGUUUUCUCCUUUAAAUAUGUACGCUGCCUACAAAAAAUGUUGCUUACGCCACGGAUUCAUAUAGCUUUGGAACGUUGGAAAUAGAUAAUACUUCAGGUAUUGGUAUAAUAUAGGAUUUCAGGCUUUGGUAAGGCUGGAAUAUUUGGGGAUUCUGGUGUAGGGAUCUCAGGGAAUGGCGUCUCCAGAAGGUGGCUCGUGUAGUUGCACCAGCUAACUGAUCAUACAUGAAGCAUAAAUUGUUUUUAUCAUUCUUUUGGAGAAGGUGAAACAGAGGUAAUUGAAUCCAUUUAAUGUGCAUUAAUUAGGAUGAAUGAAACAAAAAGCAAAUUAGUUUAAUCACCAGUUUGGUUCUACACUAAUAAUGUGAGUCCACUCCAUUUUGUGGCACUUAAAUAUACUAAUUCAUCCUUUAUUCCAUAAUCUUGAAAUGUAAUGGAGAAAUUGGUUACUAUAAAUUAGGAAGGAAAAAUAGUGAGGGAAAGAAUGGACAAACAACGAUCGAGCAAAAGCAGAGAUGGCAAAUGAUAGGAAAUAAACCAAAGUAACAUAUAUCAAAGUUUUAUUACACUGUAUAUAUAGAAAAAAUACAUAAAACAUUCAUAUAGUAUAAUAACACGACAAACUCAGUACAUCCAAUUCAAAUACUUCUAUAAAAGAAUUACAAUUUCAACUCGUAGCAGAAAGUAUCCAAUACUAUCUCCAUGUCACAGCUCAGGUGGCAAACUUCAUAGACUGAGAUGGAAAUCGUAAAAUAUCAGCUGGGUACUUUCUAAUUGAGUGAAAGUAGCAUAUAAUUUACUCAAGGAGUAGCGGGUUUGUAUGGUGGAGAAAGUGAAGGAAGAGUUGGUUUAGGUAGUUCUGGAAUUUCAGGCUUUGGUAGUUCUGGGAUUUCAGGCUUUGGCAUCUUUGGUACUUCUGGCUUUGGAAGUUCUGGUAGUUUUGGCUUUGGUAGUUCUGGGAUUUCUGGCUUUGGCAUUGUUGGGACUUUUAGCUUUGGAAGCUCUGGGACUUUCGGCUUUGGUAGUUCUGGGAUUUCAGUCUUGGGCAUAGCUGGUGCUUCAGGCUUUGGCAUUGUUGGGACUUUUAGCUUUGGAAGCUCUGGGGCUUUUGGCUUUGGUAAUUCUGGGAUUUCAGGCUUUGGCAUAGUUGGUACUUUUGGCUUUGGAAGUUCUGGGAUUUCUGGCUUUGGCAUAGUUGGUACUUCAGGCUUUGGAAUUGUUGGGACUUUUAUCUUUGGAAGCUCUGGGGCUUUUGGCUUUGGUAAUUCUGGGAUUUCAGGCUUUGGCAUAGUUGGUACUUUUGGCUUUGGAAGUUCUGGGAUUUCUGGCUUUGGCAUAGUUGGUACUUCAGGCUUUGGAAUUGUUGGGACUUUUAUCUUUGGAAGCUCUGGGGCUUUUGGCUUUGGUAAUUCUGGGAUUUCAGGCUUUGGCAUAGUUGGUACUUCUGGCUUUGGAAGUUCUGGGACCUUUGGCUUUGGUAGUUCUGGGAUUUCUGGCUUUGGCACAUUCGGUAGCUCGGGCUUUGGUAAAGUUGGAACUUCAGGCUUUUUCAUAGUGGGAGGAACCUCAGUCUUUGGCACUGCUGGAAUUUCUGACUUUUUCAAGGGAGGAAACUCUAGUUUUGGCAUUGCUGGAAUCUCAGGCAUCUUUGGCUUUGGCAAAGUUGGUAACUGGGGCUUCGGGAAAGUUGGUAGCUCAGGCUUUGGAACAUUAGGG
Molecule: long non-coding RNA, 3524 nt
Filed under: Solanum tuberosum (potato)
Lineage: Eukaryota; Viridiplantae; Streptophyta; Magnoliopsida; Solanales; Solanaceae
Description: long non-coding RNA (STUB_LNC002389)
Source: RNAcentral